Molecule: small nucleolar RNA, 93 nt
Filed under: Microtus ochrogaster (prairie vole)
Lineage: Eukaryota; Metazoa; Chordata; Mammalia; Rodentia; Cricetidae
Source: RNAcentral
UAACCCCCAUGAUGUACAGCACUGGGCUCUGACCACCCUGAUGACAUGGUGCAAGCCUCCAGGACCUUUGACAUCUGGGGGUCUGAGGGGUUU